RNAcentral lists this ribosomal RNA (399 nucleotides) under uncultured bacterium. RNAcentral's name for it is "bacterial SSU rRNA". It matches the Rfam family "Bacterial small subunit ribosomal RNA", at positions 362 to 775 of the family's 1533-position model. The record is from RNAcentral.
UAUUGCACAAUGGGGGAAACCCUGAUGCAGCAACGCCGCGUGAGUGAAGAAGUAUUUCGGUAUGUAAAGCUCUAUCAGCAGGGAAGAAAGAAAUGACGGUACCUGACUAAGAAGCCCCGGCUAACUACGUGCCCGCAGCCGCGGUAAUACGUAGGGGGCAAGCGUUCUCCGGAUUUACUGGGUGGAAAGGGAGCGUAGACGGCGAUGCAAGCCAGAUGUGAAAGCCCGGGGCUCAACCCCGGGACUGCAUUUGGAACUGUUUGGCUGGAGUGUCGGAGAGGCAAGUGGAAUUCCUAGUGUAGCGGUGAAAUGCGUAGAUAUUAGGAGGAACACCAGUGGCGAAGGCGGCUUGCUGGACGAUGACUGACGUUGAGGCUCGAAAGCGUGGGGAGCAAAUAG